GAUGAAGAACGUAGCGAAAUGCGAUAAGUAGUGUGAAUUGCAGAAUUCAGUGAAUCAUCGAGUCUUUGAACGCACAUUGCGCCCUCUGGUAUUCCGGAGGGCAUGCCUGUCCGAGCGUCAUUGCUGCCCUCAAGCACGGCUUGUGUGUUGGGCCCCGUCCUCCUUCCGGGGGACGGGUCCGAAAGGCAGCGGCGGCACCGCGUCCGGUCCUCAAGCGUAUGGGGCUUUGUCACUCGCUUUGUAGGCCUGGCCGGCGCUUGCCGAUCAACCAAACUUUUUAUCAGGUUGACCUCGGAUCAGGUAGGGAUACCCGCUGAACUUAAGCAUAUCAAUAAGCGGAGGA
RNAcentral lists this unclassified non-coding RNA (343 nucleotides) under soil metagenome. Its description in RNAcentral is "partial contains 5.8S ribosomal RNA, internal transcribed spacer 2, and large subunit ribosomal RNA". The stretch from base 1 to 120 matches the Rfam family "5.8S ribosomal RNA", at positions 35 to 154 of the family's 154-position model. The record is from RNAcentral.